RNAcentral lists this ribosomal RNA (734 nucleotides) under Erwinia sp. RNAcentral describes it as "partial 16S rRNA". Lineage: Bacteria; Pseudomonadati; Pseudomonadota; Gammaproteobacteria; Enterobacterales; Erwiniaceae. The record is from RNAcentral.
CACCUGAGCGUCAGUCUUUGUCCAGGGGGCCGCCUUCGCCACCGGUAUUCCUCCAGAUCUCUACGCAUUUCACCGCUACACCUGGAAUUCUACCCCCCUCUACAAGACUCUAGCCUGCCAGUUUCGAAUGCAGUUCCCAGGUUAAGCCCGGGGAUUUCACAUCCGACUUGACAGACCGCCUGCGUGCGCUUUACGCCCAGUAAUUCCGAUUAACGCUUGCACCCUCCGUAUUACCGCGGCUGCUGGCACGGAGUUAGCCGGUGCUUCUUCUGCGGGUAACGUCAAUCGGUGAAGCUAUUAACUCCACCGCCUUCCUCCCCGCUGAAAGUACUUUACAACCCGAAGGCCUUCUUCAUACACGCGGCAUGGCUGCAUCAGGCUUGCGCCCAUUGUGCAAUAUUCCCCACUGCUGCCUCCCGUAGGAGUCUGGACCGUGUCUCAGUUCCAGUGUGGCUGGUCAUCCUCUCAGACCAGCUAGGGAUCGUCGCCUAGGUGAGCCAUUACCCCACCUACUAGCUAAUCCCAUCUGGGCACAUCCGAUGGUGUGAGGCCCGAAGGUCCCCCACUUUGGUCUUGCGACGUUAUGCGGUAUUAGCUACCGUUUCCAGUAGUUAUCCCCCUCCAUCGGGCAGUUUCCCAGACAUUACUCACCCGUCCGCCACUCGUCACCCGAGAGCAAGCUCUCUGUGCUACCGUUCGACUUGCAUGUGUUAGGCCUGCCGCCAGCGUUCAAU